Trematomus bernacchii (emerald rockcod) is the source of this 662-nucleotide long non-coding RNA. RefSeq lists it as uncharacterized. The transcript has 3 exons. Lineage: Eukaryota; Metazoa; Chordata; Actinopteri; Perciformes; Nototheniidae. The record is from RefSeq and is a predicted model, not a curated record.
UGGCAUCCUAUUUUGUAAAACCUACCAUUAGGCAUAAUUGGUCACUUCAGUUUGUUAAUGUUAUAUCCCCGAAGUGUGAUUACGUAACUAGCGUGGGGACUUUAUUUACAUAGCUAAUGGCGCAGUUGCUAUUUAUUUUCAUGUGUAAUGUUGGUGUGUUUCAAGACUUUGGGAGACAACGGUACUGCAUGUCACGAAGGGACAGAUUCACCUCCAGCCAGUGAUGCUGGGCUUAUAGACCCAGAGCAAGAGGUCGUCUCUCCACUGGUUCCUCAACCAACAUCUGUGCUUCACUGCGGCUCACAGUGUAACCUCAGACCUUUCCAUCGUUCAUCAGCUGUCCAGGUGCAGCCCAGGAUGGUCAGUGUGUGGUGUCAGACAGAAUCUCCACUGCCCAGUCCCGCACACAGUGAUGAUGAGUCAUCCUCUGUUUCCAUGGACCACCCUGGGGAUAUGGAGCCCAGAGGAGGAAAUGAUGAGCGAGUCGUCUGACGAGGAACCAUCAAAAGAGCCACUGCAGCAAACUAAUUUUGAUCUCAAUGCUGCUGACAAGUUCAUUGUGUGCCAAAGCCAGCUGAUGUCCUUGUUCACCAUUUGCCCUGCCUGUUGUGGGGAAACCCAGGGUUAUGUGGAGCAGCAAGAGGGAACGUAUAUCAAGAUAA